RNAcentral lists this ribosomal RNA (678 nucleotides) under uncultured Bacteroidales bacterium. Its description in RNAcentral is "bacterial SSU rRNA". It matches the Rfam family "Bacterial small subunit ribosomal RNA", at positions 54 to 719 of the family's 1533-position model. Lineage: Bacteria; Pseudomonadati; Bacteroidota; Bacteroidia; Bacteroidales. The record is from RNAcentral.
CAUGCAAGUCGAGGGGCAGCAUGGUCUUAGCUUGCUAAGGCUGAUGGCGACCGGCGCACGGGUGAGUAACACGUAUCCAACCUGCCGUCUACUCUUGGCCAGCCUUCUGAAAGGAAGAUUAAUCCAGGAUGGCAUCAUGAGUUCACAUGUCCGCAUGAUUAAAGGUAUUUUCCGGUAGACGAUGGGGAUGCGUUCCAUUAGAUAGUAGGCGGGGUAACGGCCCACCUAGUCAACGAUGGAUAGGGGUUCUGAGAGGAAGGUCCCCCACAUUGGAACUGAGACACGGUCCAAACUCCUACGGGAGGCAGCAGUGAGGAAUAUUGGUCAAUGGGCGAUGGCCUGAACCAGCCAAGUAGCGUGAAGGAUGACUGCCCUAUGGGUUGUAAACUUCUUUUAUAAAGGAAUAAAGUCGGGUAUGCAUACCCGUUUGCAUGUACUUUAUGAAUAAGGAUCGGCUAACUCCGUGCCAGCAGCCGCGGUAAUACGGAGGAUCCGAGCGUUAUCCGGAUUUAUUGGGUUUAAAGGGAGCGUAGAUGGAUGUUUAAGUCAGUUGUGAAAGUUUGCGGCUCAACCGUAAAAUUGCAGUUGAUACUGGAUGUCUUGAGUGCAGUUGAGGCAGGCGGAAUUCGUGGUGUAGCGGUGAAAUGCUUAGAUAUCACGAAGAACUCCGAUUGCGAA